GUCGUAAACUACUUACCGUGCUUCUCCAUGAUUUAAACUGUUCUGGAAAAGAAAGGAUAUCUGGUGUUAGCUCAUCAUCUACCAGAUCUAUCUACCCAUCUAUCAUUUACAGGAGAGAUGUGACUGUUCAAUGUAUCCACAAACUAUUCAGGCGCCCGGCUGGCUCAUCCUCCUGAUUCCUGUAGUCUAGGCUGAUCUGCUUACUCAAAUGGUUGGGUUUGAACCUCGUCUCUAUACUCCUGUGCUCAGUAGGACUGUGGGAGUCUUUUUAGUGGCCCUAAUUGGUAGUCACAUUCCUAAGAGUCUUUGGAAAGAGGAUCCAAGGAGGACCACUGUGAAAGACCCUCCACACAACCAGAGGCAGAAAUUAGUCUUCAGAACAUGCACUUCUAAAAGAAGCAUGGAGCCCAUGUAUGAGCCUCUGAGUUUGGCUGUAGGAAUGGUCCAGCAACAGAGGAGAAGUAAAUUUCCAGGGUAUUGGACUGGAGUCUGGAAUCUAGGGUCUGUGUGGACUGUCCUGCCUAACCCAAGCCACAAAUUUGAGAAAGUCUGGUAUUCUGCUCUGUAGAUUAAAAGUUGCUCUUCACAAAGUGAAUCUACUUAUGGUUCUAAGAGACCAGCUAUCUGACAAUCCAAGUGAUUCUGUGCCUGACUAUUUCUGCAGCAGCGUGCAAAAUUUUUACUCAAUACUGCUCCAUUCCCCAUAGUUGAACCCCAUUUUUGCUUUCUCUGCUCUAUCCAGGUACCAUAUUCUGAACUGUAAAUGGCAACUCAUUCCAUGUCUACUGACUACAACCGAAGCAUAUGAGGCAGAAAUUCUGUUACUCAAAACUUUUAUCCUGGACUCUCAUGAAUGUAGUUGACCCCACAUCUUCUCUGGCACAUUCCGGUGUUGCUGGCUGUCCUUUUACUCCUUCUACUGUGCACUUCCGAGUGACAAAACAUUCAUCAAUGUGUCUACAUAGAUAAUUAAUUCCAGUGUUCUCAAGAAACAAUUGCCACCUUCUGUACCAUUUCAUAAUUUUUUUCUUUAGCACAGACAAUUAAGUUUAAAAUUUCAUAUCUUAAUGAAAUACCUAAGAUUUCUAAGUAGUAUAAUCCCAUUUAUAUGUACUUUAUAAGCAAGAAGUUCAACAGCGGUUUAUUACAGCUCCAUAGGUUUACUGUACUCUAGAAUAAAUCUAAAAAAUCUUGUGUUGUUCAUUUAAAUUUCUGUAUUUACUUCAAACAAUAAGUACAUGAGUAUGCAUUAACUGACCAAAAAUAUAAAUAUUUAUGUUUUGCGCCAACUAACCCAUAGGGAUAAUAAUGAAUUAAUAGGCAUAUGUAAUCACAGUAGACUUAAAGGUUGUAUAGGGCUAUAUUAAUCCUUCAGAAUUCAUUAUAUAUAUAUAUAUAUGAUACACACAUAUAUACACACACAUAAAAAGUUCACACAUAUUUUCUCAACAUCAAAUUUCUAUUAUAAAAGCUUAUGCACUGAAAAGAAUAUCAGUUUUCAUUAAGCAUGCUAACAGUACCUUAACAGAUGUAUCAAAUUGAAAGGUAAACAAAUCUUGGUCUAGCGAGAGGUGGCAUCCCAUCUUUAAUAUUUGUGUUAAAUGACCAAAUUUUUACCCGCACCAUUUCUACUUUUAAGAAUCAUUUAUUUUUUUGUAUGUGUUUGAGUGGCUUUACUUGCAUGUAUGUAUGCAUGUAUGUACAUGCAGUGUGAGCCUACUGCAUGAGGAGGCCAGUAGAGGGCUCUGGAGGCUCUGGCACUGAACGUACCAAGGGUUGGAAGGUAUCCUGUGGGAUGAUGUCACAGGUACAAGAUAGAAUGAGGCCUGUCAUUGGACGAGAAGGACGGAUGGGCGGGAGAAAAGUUUGAAAGAGGAGGAGGAGAUGGGAACCGAAGAGGAGAGGAAGGAGAGAAGCUGUGGUGGGACAAUAUGGAGGCUGGCAUUAAGGUUCCAUGUACAGGUUGUUGUGAAUGUUCUUAAGGGAUGGAUGUGUACUGGGCUUUGCAGUUUAGGUGGGCAAUUAUAUCUUAUCAACUGGAUCAGAGGUUAUUGUGUCGUGUGCUCUUUCGUGUGCAGAUUUAAGUGUAAGGGAGUGUGGGGCGGCUAGUCUGGGCCGCCACGGAAUUGGAAUGUGUGCUUCUGGGAAGAUAUCUAGCAGAUAUCUUGGGGCACUACAGUUCUGGACCUAGAGCGGAUAAAAAGACUGUUCUCUUUUUAUAUUUUUACAACAGCAGCAUCCUAUCGUGUGGGUGCUGGGACCCAGAGGUUGGUCCUCUGCAAGAUCUGCAAGGACCACUGAGCCAUCUCACCACUCCCAUGCUCCUUAUUUCUUAUGCCGCUGUUUAACGCACUUAGCUUACAGAGAUCUAUGGCCUCAACUCAACAAGAACUUUAAAGGGUUGCAGCUUUCUGUUAUUUUCAUCUUCCAUCCAGUCAAACAACUUCAUAUUUCUUACAUUUGGUAAACAAAGCUCUUAACUUGAAAAAAAAAAUCCUGUCAUAGUUAUUGAAUUCCAAUUAUAAAAUGCGAGCAGUUCCCUCUCCCUAACUCAUCCAAUGUUCAAGAUGAACCAGCUCAACAGUUCAAUCUUUGAAAAUACUUUAAUUAAAAACACCUUUUCUUCUCAUGGUGGGACACAAGCAAACAUAUAAUACCUACAUGUAAACAUACCUGUACACAUGUAUGCAUACCACACAGAGUGAAAAGUAAAAUGUGUACAUAUGUUUAAUGCAGAUAGUGUAUGUUUGCAUGUGUAGACCUGGGCUACAGUUUAGAGAGCCGAAAUUGACCCUGGUAUCUUCCUCAGUUGUAAUUUACCUUAUGUAUUGGGGCAGGACUCCCACUGAACCUACAGUUUGCCAAUUCCUGCUAGUCUAUCUAGACAGCUUGACUGUGAAAAUCUUUGUUGACAAAUAUUUCUUCUUAGGAUGUGGAAAGAGGGGAAUUCCAAAGCCAUGUCAGGUGGACCUUAAGAAUGUGGUGGUGUAAUAAGAUUCUGUCUGUAUAACAUAACCCACUGAGAAGCCACUGGGUUUGUUUGUCUUGGGGCUAAAGGACAAUUUCCUCCUUGCACAGAAAUCCCCAAACUGUGCUCAUUUGUCAAUCCUGGAUGUUUUCUUAAUACUCUAAUUCAUAAUUUUGAGGCUUGAUCUAUGUUUGUGAGGAGAAGCGCCCAUUAGAAAAACUGCUGUGGAAUAAAAUGUGGGAUCUCAUUCCCAGGGGAGGGUUUAGAACAGCCCAGGAUUUAAAAUGCUGUGUGUGGAAUCUAGAGCAGAAUGUUAGGUGGCCACUAAGCCUUUGCAUGUGCCACUUAGAAUAGAGACCCAUAUGUGUAAUGAAUGAAGGCAUUAAACGCACAGCUGCCUACCCAGACUGCUCUCCUUAGCUGUAGAAAUGACCCCUCUGCCUUCUUUAACCUUACUGGAGCCUUGUCAGCCCAAAUGUCACCCAGCUUUAAAAAUAACUUGAAACUGUGUCCCCAGUUGCAGCAUGUCACCCACAUUUUAUCCUGAUGAUUUUUAAAUAACGUUUUCUGCUCUUAAUUUUUUUUUUGUUUCAGGAGGUUUCUAUGAAAAAGAAAAUGAUAUUUGUGAUGUCUCUAAUAAAUAUAUAAACUGCACCAAUGAUAUGCAAUUACCCAGAACAAAUGAGAAACUUCAAGAAAUACCUCCUGAUUACUAUUAUCUUCUUGGUUACUAUAUUAUGUGACACAUUUAUGGAAAAUUGUGGCACCCUAUACAUAUUAAUGAAAGUCUAUAUAAUACAAUUAUGUAAUUUCUGGGUUUUUUUUAUUAUUACAACCUCAAGUUUCCAUUUCAUUUCUAGUUUUUUUAAUUAAAAUUUUUAAUUAAGAAGUGCUUGCUUUUAAGUGUGUAUGAGGCAUGCAAGCAUUUGUCUAUAUGUGUUUGCGUGUGUGCUGAUAUGGACUGAGGUUUAGAGAGCCGCAGCGGACACCCGGCAUCUUCCUCAAUUUCACUUCACCGUCUUUACUGACGCUGGCCAGUUCUAGCCAGUUCUAGCUCAUCUAUCUAGUGAGCUUGACUAUUACUCUGGUCACAGCCUCUGUUUCCUGUCAGCUGGGAUUUCAGGCAGUGGCCGCAACUGUCUGGCUUCUAUGUAGAUUCUGGUAAUUCCCACCUCCAACCUCCAUGCUUGCAUAACACGUUCUUUAUCUACUGAGCCAUCUCCUCAGUUCUUUUCUGAGUUUUCUCCGAAUUGUAAAACAUUCCCAUCUGAGACUGGGAGAUAGUACGAGGGAUUCACAUCAUGUCUCCACAAUUCAGAAAAUAAGUAGCUUGAGGCUAUUUAACCAGAAUUUACCUGUUAGUGCAUACAUGAGAACACACGCCUGCCUGUAAACCACCCAGUGGACAAGUUAAACUCACGUUUCUCUUCACAGCCCAAAUGUCAACACAUGGCUCUGUGCAACCCAGCAACACUCUACUGCUUUUAAACCAUCAUUAGAAUCCCGAAGAGCUGACCAGUUGAGUGAGAGACUUCGUGGUGGGUAAAGGGGAAAGAAAAAAAAAAGCUGUGAUAGAAAAAGUGGUAAAGCAAAAUUGUGACAGUGAAGUCACAUAUCAAAUACUUUCCAGGUUCUUUUAGUUGUGUUUGGGUCACAAAUCAAAUAAUUUUUAGGUACAUUUUAGCUCCACUUUUUUAGGUAGGUUUUGUAGUUUUGGAAAGGUUUAGUAAAUACUUAGAAGGAAACAUUCCAUCUGUCAAAUUGUGGCUUCAGCGAUUGUCAAACCGAGGCAGAUGAGUAUGAAAAUAUAUUUCCCCAAAUGGUUCAAUGCAUUUCCACAAUGCUUCAAGGCAUUGGUGAGCGUUUGGGGAAACAGAACCCCUGAUUGUGCACUUAUACCAGAAGUACAUUGCUUACAAAUGCAAUAUCCUUUGAAAGAGAAUGCUUCCUUCUCAAAAUCCACCUCACUAUUUCAUGGUCACAAAAAGCAAACAAGCUUAAACUCUGAAGGAGACAUGGGCAAGCUUUGAAUGAAAAUAGAUUAUAUGCCAACUAGAAUCCACUGAACACACAGUCGUCAAGUGUUCUACAAAAAUAAGAUGUAAAUUUAAAGAAGCAAAAACACAUCUCAAAAUCCAGUUAUUCUUACUGGGGUUCCUACAUGAUUGCAAAAUACCUUCUGGGAAGCCAAAAAAUUUUACAUUAAUUUGAGGUGAGUUUUUUUUGGCUUACUUAUAAAUGAAGCCCCUGAGUUCACUGAGCCAAGGUUGUUUACUGCUGCUCAGUUCACUAACUAGAUGAAUUAAAGCAGCUCAUUUCCAUAUCUUCCUAUCAUUAUCUCUGGUUUAAUGAAAAAAAAAGAAAGAAAGAAAGAAAGAAAAAGGCUCCCAACCUUCUACCAAGUGAAAUUUGUUAGCAAGUAUUUUAAAAGGGCACUCGUUUUUUGUAAGAUAGCAAAGCCUAGGGUUCCAGUUUACUUUUGGUGUCAAUCUUUUAGUGACUAGGUAAGUUCCCCCCACCCAAAAUUUUAAUUUGAAAAAUACAAAGACUUGUUAAAACACUUAACUAAAUACAUAGUUUCAACAAGCUCUAUUUAUUUCAUACUGUUCUACUACAAUAGUAUGUUGUGCACACACAGGCAUAUAUGCUUGUAUAAAUAUUUCCUGAGGAAAUAUUCACCUGUGUUUCCAAGGGGGUAUUCAUGGAUACCAGAGUUUAUUCUAUCUACACUCUCUACACAGUGUAUACACUGUUUACAAUGUGUACAGAGACAGCAAAAUUCUCUAAGUCUACACGACAGUGUUCAGCGAGCGCUACACACAGGUGAUGUUGCUCAGGUCGAGGCCCUGAAGCUAAAACCUCACCUCAUGCAGGGGGAAUGAACAAACUCUGAGUUACACAGCAGAGAAAGGAGAGGUCACGUUGCUCUGUCCAGAAGCAGGGACUCUCUUUGGUUUAGCAACAGUCUAUUUCUUUAUGUUUGUUCAUUAUUCAAAGGGGCACAAUUUUUGUAAGAAUCCAGGUAGAAAGCUCUGUUGUUAGCAAAACUCAAGGAACCACACUCUCCCACCCUCAAGUGCCUGGUGCUUUUUGUUAAGCUUCACUGGCACCUACUACUUAGUUCCAACUGGUAAGCCGGAAGAAAGUGUAAUUGUUUGUCUUGGAACAGGGGAGGUGGCCAUACCCAACUUCCAGGAAUAAGAUUACAGAAAUCAAGCCACACAGGAACCAGCGGGGAGAGUUGUAGGCGUGGGAGCUGUGUCAAGUAUUUAAUCGAAUAAACGCUAGUUUUCCACUUGGUUCUUUAUUCAGUUUAUAUUAACUGAUGCAAAAGUAACGACUCUUUUUGUUGUUGUUUUGGUUGGUUUUCCUCUGUUUUGUUUUUCUCCAGACAGGGUUUCUCUUGCGUAGCCACGGCAGUCCUGGAACUUGGUCUACAGACAAGGAAAGCGAUGAAUGCACCUGAAGAAACCCUGUCAGAAUGCAAGGUAUGUAACGGAAGACUGAAUCUGCGCCUCCUGGUCCUACCCACCCUGACCUUUAACCCCGUACAUUCCCUACUUUUAUAUUUAGAAUGCUAUGCAUAGUUUGAGUUCUAGCCACAAUCCCAAAGAACACCCUUGUUAAAGAGCUAGCAGGCUCUUUGAACAAUUUCUCUUCUUUUUUUCCCUUUCCUUUUCCUGCAAUGGGACUCCAGCUUGGGCUCUGCGCAUUUGAAAAGAGCGCUAUCACAGAGCCGCUCUAGUGUGUGAAGCAGUGUGCUAAACUGAAAACGAUCCGGUAGGAACUAGCAAAGAGGUGACAAGAGUGUGGAUUCCGAGCAGCGGGCAGGACAGCAGGGCUUCUGGCUGAGUUCCCUUCCCACUUCCGGGGUCACUGAGCCCAAGUCUUUCGGCCAUUUCUCCUAGGCUCCAGACCAUAACCUCUGCCGUAUGAGCAAACCGCCCCCAGUCCUUGCUCCUGCUUGCUCCUCCCGCCCCCCAGUAAACCCCUGCCAGCCCCACGCCCCAUCACCGUGCCCAGCUCCGGUGCGCGCACAGAUCGCGAGCUCAGUCCGGGACAGCAUGGAAUGUGGACUCACCUGAGGCUCCUUCUGCUCUGAGGUCUGCAAGGUGGACAGCUGGCUCCUGGCAGUCGUGAGUCCCAACCCCUUGCUAGUGGUGCAGCUGUCGCACAGCUCUCCCUAAAGCCUCUCAGAGGGACUCACUCUGGAUGACGCGAGCCAGCACUCCAGAAUCCUCCAACUGCGCCCAAGGGGCCAGGCGACAGUCCACCUUGCCUGCCCCGCCCAUGGGCUACGCAAAAGGAAGUGGGAUUUUGAUGGCCUUGGAAGGGAAGGCUACUCAUCACCUGGGGAGUGGCCUCUACUGGGAACUUUCUUUACAUUGCCCCAUCUCAACUACUCAACCUAUUUGGGUUCUGUGGAAGAAAUCGAGUUUCCUCAAAAUUACUUAACUGCUUUUCACACUUUCCUAAGUGGUAACAUCAAUUACCACAUCUGUUCCAUCCGCCCUGUUUGCACUUUCAAGUUUGUUGAAUUCUUUUCCUAGCAGCAUUUUACUCCUCUUUUUAAAAGUCUCACGGCUUUUAUAUAACCGUCUGAAGUCUUUUGCUGUUAGCAGUCUUUACUUUCUUUUUACUACAGAUUGUGGGAAAGUACCACCCUUAACUAGAAAACAUUCAGGUUUGGUUUGAACUACUGCUCGAUCACCAAAAAUCAGCAUCUGCUUUGUGUAGUAAAAUGGUGCUUCUCAAAUUACAGCCGGAGAAGAAACACCCAGCUAAAACUGCAUUUGAAGGUCAUACCUUCAAAGUUUCUGACUUACUAUGCCAGGUGUGGACAUUUCUAAGAAAUUUCCCUAUGACACGGAAGGUAUUUUUUCCUGCCUGCAUUUUAUGAAUCAUUUGAUAUUCUUGGGGGAGGGGAGGUUAUGAAAGGAUGAUGAAAGGGUUACAGGUGAAUUUUGAUUAGUGAGCUCACUCUUCUUUCCCAGUGAUUGGUGCAUUUCUAAGUAUAUUCAACUAAAAAUCUGGGGAGCGUCUUGGGAAGAGCUCACUACUUUUAUUGUGUAUGUAUUUCUGGACACACAUAAGUACCUGUGUGCACUCAGUAUAUUGUUCUUCCAUGGAAAAGUGAACCUCUACAAAAGGAGUCUGAGAGCGUGGCACUCUGAUGCUGAGAAAUGAACCCUGAACUCAACAUAGCUCAAGGUGGUUUGUAACCUCAACUGGCUUGCUGGUAGGAACUCGUAUUUAUCGUCACUCUUAACCCGAUUUUCUACUCAGACCAAACAAGGAUCUUCACUACCCUCUCUUUGCAUAAAUGGGCUCAUUUCAUUUGAAUGUUAUAGUAUAGUUAUAGCUAUUCGCUAGUCCUUUUAUUUGUUUUAACGUAAGCAGUUGACGUUUAUUUAUAGGUAAUACCUUGAAGAGCUUUUCAGCAUUAGGGCAGUCUGUCUAAGUAAGAGUCUUCCUACUGCUUUCCCCUCUGUUGUGUCUCCUAGGCUAACCGUUGUUACCAGCAGCUCCGAGACUCUUGGCCACAGGGGAAUCCAUGAGGUGGAGCUUCAUGGGCAGCCGCUGACAGCUGGUGGCUCACUUUGUGUUUGCUUCCCUGCCUAAUGUCUUCGUACCUCAGGCCCACUCUUCUUAGAAACUUUUUUCUAAGUUUUCUACUUAGAAAAACUAUCCUUAGCAAACGAUUUAAAUGUUGAAUGACUAUGCUGAUUCCUUAUUACUAACAGGAGGUCGAGUUAUUUUAGGUAAUGUUUGCGUCUUCCCACCUUCCAAACUUUAAUGUCCUAAAGUAUUAAACAGGUAACAACUGAAUGGACAUGUUCCUGUUUGGUGGCUGUGUGAUGUGGGGUGUGUGUGUGUGUGUGUGUGUGUGUGUGUGUGUGGUAUGGUGUGGUGUGUGUGUGUGUGUGUGUGUGUGUGUGGUAUGGUGUGUGUGGUGUGUGUGUGUGUGUGGUGUGGUGUGUGUGUGUGUGUGUGGUAUGGUGUGGUGUGUGUGUGUGUGUGUGGGGUAUGGUGUGUGUGGUGUGGUGUGUGUGUGUGUGUGGUGUGGUGUGUGUGAUGUGUGGUGUGGUGUUAUGGUGUGUGUGUGUGUGUGUGUGGUGUGGUGUGUAUGGUGUGUGAUAUGUGUGGUGUGGUAUGGUGUGUGUGUGUGUUUGUGGUGUGGUGUGUGUGUGUGUGUGUGUGUCUGUGUCUCUGUGUGUGUGUGUGUGUGUGUCUGUGUGGGUGUGUAUGUGUGUGUGUGUAUGUGUGUGUGUGUGUGUGUGUGUGUGCUUCCUAGAAGUAUACUAAGCCCCAGGCUGUGUAAUCUUUAGUAUACGUCUUUCCAGGUAGUUCGAGGCUUUAACAUAUGGUCCAUAAGCAAAGGAAGAGAAAGGGCUUAGCCACGAAGGGUGGUCCCAGGAGCCAGGGAAUGAGCUGAUAACACCUAUCACUUCUAUUCACCUCCUGUAGUCUGGAUUAGGUUAAAAAGACACACAACUUUCCCGACAGGAUUGGAAAUGCAGGGUGGAGCCUUCCCAGAAAGAGAAAGAAUGGAAUUUCCUAUUGAGGAAAAAAAAAGUACUAUCAUUAGGGAGUUUCCACUAAAAUUAAAACAAGAGCUCCUCUUAAAUAAAUGAGCAACCAAGUCUUUAAGCAAAUCUAGAUCUUUUUACUUAAAAGAACUAUUUCCUUACGUUUAUAAGAAAAAUAAAUAAAUAACUCCAAAUAUGUCAUAUAUUUAAUCCAAAGCUUUUCAGGUCCCUUGACGAAGUGGAAAGUUGACAUUUUAAAAUAAUAGUGUAUAGAAGAAGCUCAUCAAGGUUAUCCAGAAUUUAUGGCUACAAAAUCGUAUAGAUUACACAAAGAAGUUAUUCGGAAAGAAAGAACAGUGAUGAUAGCUUUCUAUGACACAUGGUUCCACUAAGUUUUAAAGGAAAAAGUAGGAAGCAGCCAUGAGUAGAAGGCAGAACUAAUGUAAAGAGAGGUGGUCAGGUACUUCAAGGAUACAAACAUGCAUAGUUUCAGCAGAAAGGUAUGGAUGGAACCACAGAGACUCCUACGUUUGCAACAGAGACCAAAUAUUGCAGGAUGGUUGAUCACACAGUGAACCCUGAGAUUGUGUUCACCAAAAAACCUGAUUCUAGUUGUCCUGUGGCUCAGCUGCAACACACACCUUUAAUCUCUCUGGCUAGCAUCCAGAAACACCCUUAGUACACACCUUUAAUCCCAAGCAAUAAAGGUAAAAUUAAUUUAUAGAACAAACCGCCCAAGUUUGAACAUGAUGUCUAAUUGAGUGGCAGACAAAGUGAUGAAUCAGAGAAAGAUCUGACAAAAUAGGAUAUACCCAACUCUCAUGACAAGAUAAAGAAAGGGGAAGGUUCUUGAGGGGCCGUGAAGAGACAGAGAGGGAGGUAGUGUUACCAGGAGAGUUACAGAGACAAGUUACGGAUGGAAUCAUCCAGACACAGGCAGAGACAGACCAAGUCAGAAAAUGAGAAGGAGCCAGGAGAUUAGAACAGAUUGCCAGAGUCAGUAGGAGGUGAAGAAGAGCAACUCAGUCAGACACUGAGAGAAGCCAGAUUGAUUCAGUCAACUUGGAGAGAAGUUUGAGCUAGAGCAGCUGAGUUGAACCAGACAGCCAGAGUUAGUUAAGAAAGAACCAGAAGGGCGAAUUCAGCAGUAAGUCCCAGAGGCUGAAAAUAGUCUAGACUUAAAUAAGACUGUACAGAGGCUAGAAAAUUCCAGGCCUAGGCCUAGGCUAGCUGACUGAGGCAAAGGGCCUCCAAAGCGAUAAUUACAGGAGACUAAAAGUUACUUUUAAAACCAAAACUUGUGUUCCUUUUUCCAAUGGAAAUAAUUGAAACUGAGCAGUGGUUGUUUGCCCUAGAAUGUAUUUCCUUGUUUCCAGGUGUGAUUGAAAUAGUACCAGUGUCAUCGAAGAAACAAGGCUGUUACUUCUAAGACAGGAAUCUAAAGAUUAGAUGUGCUUUCAUUGUCCCACUGUCCUUCCAGUACUUUAUUGUAGAUGGUAAGACCUCACGUUAGAUUAAAGCAGAAUGAUCUCUCAGUUCUAAAAUACUGUCUCAAAUUCUCUUCUAAGUGCUAAGAUCUGUUCUUCAAUCAGAGAAAGUUCAUCUUGAUAACCAAGUAUAGGGAAACUGUGUUCAGCCGCUAGCAUUAUAUAAUCUAACCUGGAGAGGUUGAAAUGGGGCUAUUGAGUCCAAGGGCUUGUAAUGAAGACAUUCCAUUUUAUUGUGGAAGGUAGAAGAGGGUGUUAUCUAAUUAUAAGUACAGGAAAGACACUAUUAGGUUCUUGUUUGUAAAGACGAGGUAAGAUUUGUAGGACAAGAGAAACAAGUACAGGGGAGAUUAUUUUAUUGACAUCGUAAACCGUUUGAUGUGAUAUUGAGAUACUGAGUCAGUAUUUAGUAAUAAAAAAAGAGGAGUGGGCAAGAGCGAAUAUAAUCAAAGCACAUUAUGUGAUGUAUGAAAAUGUCAGAAUGAAAAGUCACCUUGUAUAAUUAAUAUACCCUGAUGAAGAGGAAUAAGCAGUCUUUAGUAACUAAAUAGUUUUAGAGAGGAAAGAGAAUUGUCACAGGAUGUUCCUACCUUGAAAAAUGGACCAUGCUCAAAUUCAGAAAACAUUAUAAAGGAGAUCUGAAGAAGAGCUAGAUUGACCUAGUUUGCAAUCUUGUAAGAUGUCAAAGUGAAGAUAACUUUAUUAAGAUAUAGUCCUGGCCACUUUUUUUUUUUUUUUUUUGAGUGAGGAGCUAGCACUUGGUGGAGAAACUGAAUCCAUUUAACAGAUUGAUUAAUUAAUCUAAAUGUUAUAGAGAGCCUGUUUGAGCAGAGUAGUGGUGGCAUUCGCCAUUAAUUCCAGCAUUUGGGAAAUAGAAACAGUCUAAUCUCGGAGCUCAAUGCCAGCUUGUUCAACAGACUGAGUUCAGGACAGCCAGGGCUACACACACACACACACACACACACACACACACACACACACACACACACACACACACACAAACACACAGAGAGGGUUGGUGUGGGGGAAGAGAACCCUGCAGCAACUUGAAGUCAGGUGCCUAGCAUAACUGUCAUCUGAGAGGCUUCACCUAGCACCUGAUGUAAACAGAUGCAGCGACCACAUCCAAGCAUAGGCAGAGCUUAGGGAGUCCUGUGGAAGAGGAGGAGGAAGGAUUGAAGGAGCCAAAGAAGUGAAGGACACCACAAAAAAAACCUAGAGUAUCAACCAACUUGGAGAAAGUGGACCACCAAACAGAGAGCACACAUGGGACAGACCUAGGCCCCUUGCACACGGGUAAUAAUUGUGCACCUUCAUGUGGACUUCCUAAGAGCAGGAGGAAGGGCUGUGUUUGACUCUGUUACCUGCCUUUGGAUUCCUGUCCCCUAACUGGACUGCUUCGACGAACCACAAUAGAAAAGGUGCCUAGUUCUAGUGCAUCUUGAUAUACAAAGGCGGAUUAAUAUCCACUCCAUUUUCUGAGGAGAAAAAGAGGAUUGGAGGAGGUGGGGAGGGGAGGGGAGCAGGAGGACAGAGGGAAGGCUUCUAACAGGAUGUAAAUUAAAUAAAUUAAUUAGAGAGAGGGGUAGGGAUGGAGGGAGGGAGGGAGAGAGAAGGGGGGGAUUCUUGUUUUUUAAGCAUGAGUGAGUCCUGAGGGCCCAAAAUUUGACAUAGACACUGAACCCAUCAAAGAGACUAAUCAAUACUCUGAACUGAUAGAGCAGGUCCCCUGGUCAGGUCAGGUGUUGACACAAGGGACACACUCAAGUUUAAAGACUAUGGAUCCUUUACUUCUUCCUGUAAGAGGAAAGGUGUAACAAAGAGGGGUGUGGAAAGGAGAAAAGCUUGUUUUUAUGAUACUCUUAAUGAGAAAGGGCUCUCCGAUGACGGUGACGCUGCACAUUUGAGAGAAUCAAAAAGAAUGAGUCUGACUGAGGUGACCCAGCCUUACUCCUAAGGUAAUCAUAGUACCUAGUUACCCAAGCGACACCUAAUAGCAAUGAAAGAGCUCACACAUAGCCCAGUGUUGACCACAAUGUCUAGUUUAUUUUGUCCUCUACCUUCUCUAGUUGCAGAGGGGGAAGAGGAAGAAUCAGAAGUCACACUAUGCAAUUCUAGAGCCAUAAUCAAUCCCUUGUUGACUGACUGUCACAGAGUGUGAAAGAAGGUAGAACCGCUCCACGGGGUUUCUACCUCAGGGGCUCAGCGCUCCUUUUCCCUUUUCUAUUUCCUCCAUGCAGAGCAUUCCUUCUGGUCAUCAGUGGUGCUUUGCUUCACGUGUUUGCUUGCUGUAGGAGAUGCAGGGGUUACAUUUCUGUGCCUGUUGUGAUUUUAUCACACAUUGCCUGAGAGCAGAGCUUGUUUAAGUGUUUACUUUGUGUUCACUCAAAACACAAAUCAGUAACACCAAACGCAAUGAAUUUAAGGCCUGAAGUCUCCCACUUGUUUACAAAAGAACAAUGGCCAAGUGGCUAUAAAAUAUAAUUAUCAUAGGCUUUGGAGGAAGGUCAGAAGUUCUAAAAAUGAACAAGCGUGGUAUUUUCCUCAACCUUCUGUUCGUGAUUUAACAGCUGCCAGAGGAUUUUAAAUAUGAGAUGCUGAGAUGGACUCUGUAUCUUACUCAUUUAGAGAAUAAAAGAGGAAAAGGUGAAUUGUAGACAAUUAAUGCAAACACUGUUGCUGUUAAUCAAGUUUACUUAAAGGCAAUAAUAAAUGUUUUCCAGGCUAUUAACCAGAAUUAUAUUUCAAACCUUCUAAAAGGAAGAACACUUCAAUAUGUCCGUGAAACUAAACAUUUUAAAAAUAUUUAUUAAUUUUAUGUAUGAUUUGUUUGUGUGUGUGUAAGAGAAAGAGAGAGAGAGACAAAGACAGAAAGAGAGACAGAAAGAGACAGAGAGACAGAGACAGGGUAAGUAGCGGAUGGCUCCCAUGGAACUGGAAUGACAUGAUUGUAAACUGCUUGGUGUGGGUGCCGGGCACCACGCUUAGGUCAUCUACAAGGGUAGUACCUGCUCCUAAUCUCUUAGCCAUCUCUCUCAAACCCAUACUUUAGACACUUUUAUUACUUUGGUAAAAAUCUUGAGCUGGGUAAUUCUCCCUCCUUAAACAGUUCAGCAAACUGAUAAUAGGUUGGGCAAUUUGAGGUCUUUUAGCUGCAGAAUGUAAUGUUUAGAUGUCAGAUGUGUGUAUCAGGAUUCUCUAGAAAGUCCUACUCACCAGGGUAUAUGUAUGCUUUUCUACAGGGAGGAGCCAAUCCAAGUGAUUGUCACCUGUGAUUAUGUGACAUUAAGAUGUUUCAUACUCUGCUCACUGUAGUCGGGAAGCCCCACUGGAAAACCAAUGGGUUACUUCUAUUCAAAGACUUAACCCUUGAAAAAAUAUUAAUCCAGAAUUCCUCCUGUCAAAAGGAAAUGCAGGGACAAAGAGUGGAGCAGCAACUGAAGGAAAGGCCAUCCAGAGACUGGUUCAUCUGGGGAUCCAUCCUGUCUGCAGACACCAAACCCAGACACUGUUGCUGAUGCCAAGAAGUGCUUACUAAGAGGAACCCGGUAUAGCUGUCCCCUGAGAGGCUCUGUCAGAGCUGAAGGAAUACAGAUGUGGAGGUACACAGCCAAACCCCAAUGGAGAAGUUAGGGCAAAGAGUAUAGAAGCUGAAGGGGUUUGCAAUCCCAUAGGAAAACCAACAAUAUCAACCAGUCAGACCCCCAAUGCUCCCAGGGACUAAACCACCAACCAAGAGUAUACAAGGGGUGCACAAGGCUCCAGUUGGGUAUGUAGCAGAGGACUGCCCUAUUUGGCAUCACUGGGAAGGGAGCCCCUUGGUCCUGUGGAGAUUUGAUGACCCAGAAUAGAGGAACACUAGUCCUCUGAGGUAGGAGUGGGUGAGCAGGUGGGGGAGUACCCUCAUAGAGGCAGGGGGAAGGGAGCAGAGGAUAGAGGACUUGUAGAGGGGAAACUGGGCAGGAGGAUAUCAUUUGAAAUGUAAAUAAAUAAAAUAACAACAACAAAAAAAAGACUUAAGCCUGAAGAAUCCACUGAGUCAACAUCAUGGGCUCUAGGAGGAGUCCAAAAGCCUGAGAACCCAGGGGUGGAGGGGUAGAAACCACAGUUAACCUGGAUAGUGACUGGUGUGUGUGUGUGUGUGUGUGUGUGUGUGUGUGUGUGUGUGUCUGUGUGUGUCUGUGUGUCUGUGUGUCUGUGUGUCUGUGUGUUCUGUUCAGACUAACGUUCACUUUUGCCCCACUUUGGUAAAAAUCUUGAGCUGGGUACAAUUAUCCCUCCUUAAACAGCUCAGCAAAUUGAUAAUAGGUUGAAUUAAGAUGGCCUAAACCCAGUUUCAUUCCUCACUUCCUGGACUUGGAACUGAGCAGCCCAGUUAAAUGACUCCUCAACUCCUCCAGUGUCCAUGGCUUGAACACAUCAGAAUUGAGCUAGGGAAAACACGUCCAUCUUAGAAAUUCCAAGCAAAGACAUUGAUGGAGGAGCAUAAGGGUAACCUGUAAGAACAUUAGGGACCCCAUAUCUGUCAGGUAUAAUAUACAGCACCAGAAUUCAGAAUUAAUCAAACCACAGAGAAAUCUGGAACGGAGGCUCCGGUGUGAUGUCAGAUUGGAAGAGUUUACAUAAAACUAGAAUAUACUGGAGAUUUUGUCUGCUUUUGUCUCUGGAAAUAUUAAUUGCUGAGCAGAAAAGGAUGCCUCAGUGACUAUAGUCAUGUUAAUAUCCUUACUAGAGCUGGCAAAGCUAGGACGUGUCCUCCUAAGUAAUGGUUCAAUUCAAUUCUUUUUGAUAAAAUAACUCACUGAAUGACGCCUUGCUACUCACUUGGUAGAAAAGAGUCAUCUCAAUAAAAUAAUAAAUUAACAUAGUUUAGUGCUUCCACAUAAAUAAAUACAUACUUCAUUCUCUAUUAGAUCAAAAUGUUGUAUACUUAAGAUUACUUUAAAUGUAAGAUUCAUAUUCAUAAUAUUAUCCAAUCCCAUUUUACAUUGAGUAAUAUGUGAGCUAUUUGUGUUUUUAAUUCUAAAAUGUAGACACUGUGGUAUUGGAGUCAAAUCUUCUUUGAGAAUAUCUAGGAUAUUAUUUGAAUGUUGAAAAUCUCCAGGGCCUAGCAUUUCUCUCUCACAUGCAUUCUUUCACAGUACCUGUGAAUGUUAGGAAGGCUCUCCUCCACUGAGCUAAGGCCACAGCUCAUUUGUUCAUUUGUUUUGUUAUUAGUGAAAAGUGUUUAGAAUAUCAUAAACUGGUGCUACUUUAUUAAAUAAAAAUUGAUCUAUUGUGUAUUUACUUCUGAAGUUUCUAAAACAUUAUAAGAAAUAGGCCAGCUUGAGUGCAUUCAUUUUAAGAGUUUAAUCUGAACACUGUUAGCCAUGUGUCCGUUGCCUAAGCUUCUGUCUCCUUCAGAGCACUGAUAGCAUCAUCAUCUCAGCAGCUGCUCCCUCGGGACGGCCCUGAGCACUGACUCAUCACGUUGUCCACCUCAUGUUUUAAUUCGAUCAUUAUAAAUUCGGUUUAAAAGUUAGGUGAGUGGGACCUAAAGAAUCUGUUAAAUGUAAACACCUAGAGCAUUAAAUGUGAAUAUCUUCCUCAACCACAGUGGGAGCCCAGGUGCUAAGGGUUACUGCUAGAGUGUAAUUAGACACUUUCUUGUGUUGCCACAGUCCUGUGUGGACAGAGAGACUCGAGAGGUUAAUGCCGGGACGCAAGGCAGGAUGAACAUAUGGAAAUAAAAUGUGUUUGCCUUACUUUAGAAAUGAA
Non-coding RNA from Rattus norvegicus (Norway rat), 16742 nucleotides. NCBI's taxonomy places the organism in Eukaryota, Metazoa, Chordata, Mammalia, Rodentia, Muridae. The record is from RefSeq and is a predicted model, not a curated record.